Molecule: unclassified non-coding RNA, 726 nt
Filed under: Hevea brasiliensis (rubber tree)
Lineage: Eukaryota; Viridiplantae; Streptophyta; Magnoliopsida; Malpighiales; Euphorbiaceae
Source: RNAcentral
AUCAGCUGUUCCUUGUAACAAAACAUUCAUAUUGGAUGCAAAACCAUGCAAUAAAAUAUAAUUACACCAACAAAUGGUUGACAUAUGAUUAUUCUAUUUGGGAUCAGAAGUUCAUACUACGGGAACCACAAAGCCAUGACUUGAGAAUUGUAUAAUGUGAACCAAUGAAUUUUAUGAUGGAUCAUCUGCUUACCAAUGACCUCUCUGAACCAUCUUUAUCUGCAAGUAAAUGGCAUAGCAAAUGAUGUCAAAAUUAUGGACCACGAGGCUUGCGGAAACAGAAACAACUAAUCUGAUCUUCAGUAAUCAUGCCACCCCCUUUACUUGUAUCAAUGGCUUCCAACAAUUUUACGACCUCGUCCAUGUCAGGUCGCCUUUCUGGAUUUGCGUCCCAACAUCUUUUCAUGAUAUUUGCGAACGAACUCGGGCAGCAUCUAGGGAUAUCCGGUCGUAAAUUCUGUCGCACAACUGCAGAUGACACUUCAGCAAAACUGAGAUCUGGGUAAGGCAUAUCGCAGCAAUACGUUUCCCACAAACAUAUACCAAAACUGUAGACAUCACAUUUCCGAUUAUAAGGUUUACCAUCAAGGACCUCUGGGGCCAUGUAACCAAGGGUGCCAGUCUCUCCAGUCAUAUCCCUUGGGUUCUGUGCUUCAACCCGGGCAACGCCAAAAUCAACAAUUUUCAGAGUCUUCUGAGCAUCUAGCAGCACAUUCUCUGUUUUAA